RNAcentral lists this ribosomal RNA (1281 nucleotides) under Phalacridae gen. sp. MJ-2020. RNAcentral's name for it is "16S ribosomal RNA". The stretch from base 1041 to 1199 matches the Rfam family "Archaeal large subunit ribosomal RNA", at positions 2542 to 2701 of the family's 2987-position model. Lineage: Eukaryota; Metazoa; Arthropoda; Insecta; Coleoptera; Phalacridae. The record is from RNAcentral.
AAUAUAAUUAAUUAUUAUUUAUAAAAAUUUAUUUUAAAUUAAUAUUAGAAUAUUAUGUUUUAUUAUUAUUAUGAAAAAAUUUUAUUUAUUAUAGAUUAAUAGUAUUUUAAAAGAAUUUAUUUAAAUAUAAAAAGAAAAAUUUAUUUUUUGUACCUUGUGUAUCAGGGUUAAUUAAUUAAUUAUUAAAUAUUUAAUUUUCUCGAAUUAAUAAGAGCUAAUUUAUUAUAUUUAUUAUUGUAGAAUAAAUAUAUUUAAUAUUAAAUUAGAAAUGAAACGUUAUUCGUUUAUUAAUAUAUCUAGUUUUUUAAGAAAAGAAUUUAAUUCUAAUUUUAUAAAUAUAAUUUUUAUUUUAUAAUAUUAUAUUAAUAAAAUUAAAUAUUUUUAGGGAUGAGCUUAAAAAUAUAAAUUUAUAAAUUUAUAGAAAUUAUUAAAUAUGUAGAAUUAAUAAUAUUUUUCAUUAAAUUUUUGUUAUAAUUUAUUUAAUUUUAAAUAUAAUUUUUAUUUAUUUUGAAUUUUUUAUUAAAAUAUUAAUUUUAAUUUUUUUUAUUAAGAAAUAAUGAUUAAAUUAGUAAAAUUUAUUUUUAUUUAAUAAAAAUUAUUUAAGAUUAUAUUAAGUAAUUCGGCAAAUAUAAUUUUCACCUGUUUAAUAAAAACAUGUCCUAUUGAAAAAAAUUUUAGGUUUAACCUGCCCAUUGAAUUUUAUUUAAAAGGCCGCGGUAUUUUGACCGUGCAAAGGUAGCAUAAUCAUUAGUUUUUUAAUUGAAAGCUGGAAUGAAAGGUUGGAUGAAAAAUUAACUGUCUCAAUAUAAAUAAUUGAAUUUUAUUUUUAAGUUAAAAAGCUUAAAUAUUUUUAAAAGACGAGAAGACCCUAUAGAGUUUAAUAAUAAUAAUUUGUUUAAUUUUUUAGAAUUAAUAAAUUAAUUUUAUUAUUUUAUUUGAUUGGGGUGAUUAAAAAAUUUAAAUAACUUUUUUUUAUUAAUAACAAUAAUAUUUGAAUAUUUGAUCCAAAAUUUUUGAUUAUAAGAAUAAAUUACCUUAGGGAUAACAGCGUAAUUUUUUUUGAGAGUUCAUAUUAAUAAAAAAGAUUGCGACCUCGAUGUUGGAUUAAAAUUUAUUUUUGGUGUAGAAGCUAAAAAAUUAAGUCUGUUCGACUUUUAAAAUUUUACAUGAUCUGAGUUUAAACCGGUGUGAGCCAGGUUGGUUUCUAUCUUUAAAUUAGUUAAUAUAUUUUAGUACGAAAGGACCAUUUAUAUAAUUAAAAAUUUUCUAUAGAAUAAAAUU